UGGGGAAUAUUGCACAAUGGGCGCAAGCCUGAUGCAGCCAUGCCGCGUGUAUGAAGAAGGCCUUCGGGUUGUAAAGUACUUUCAGCGGGGAGGAAGGGAGUAAAGUUAAUACCUUUGCUCAUUGACGUUACCCGCAGAAGAAGCACCGGCUAACUCCGUGCCAGCAGCCGCGGUAAUACGGAGGGUGCAAGCGUUAAUCGGAAUUACUGGGCGUAAAGCGCACGCAGGCGGUUUGUUAAGUCAGAUGUGAAAUCCUCGGGCUCAACCUGGGAACUGCAUCUGAUACUGGCAAGCGUGAGUCUCGUAGAGGGGGGUAGAAUUCCAGGUGUAGCGGUGAAAUGCGUAGAGAUCUGGAGGAAUACCGGUGGCGAAGGCGGCCCCCUGGACGAAGACUGACGCUCAGGUGCGAAAGCGUGGGGAGCAAACAGG
RNAcentral lists this ribosomal RNA (429 nucleotides) under Chloroflexota bacterium. RNAcentral describes it as "Chloroflexi bacterium partial 16S ribosomal RNA". It matches the Rfam family "Bacterial small subunit ribosomal RNA", at positions 355 to 776 of the family's 1533-position model. Lineage: Bacteria; Bacillati; Chloroflexota. The record is from RNAcentral.